UUGGAGAAUUGAGCCCUGCCUGGUUUAUUUGGCCACAGGAAGCAGAACACAAUGCUCUCGGCAUCCGAUAAGCAGCCAAAGGACAUCGGCAAAUGUGCUCGAUCCAGCAGAGGUGGUGUGUAACUCGCCUACACUCCUUGCCCACUUCAACUGUCAGGGCUGCUGUGAGCUAGACAGGAGGACCCCCAUUGUUCAGACUCGACCCUUCGGUCAGGCCCUCAACAGCUGUUUCCCGAGCUGAAGUGCAUCUCAUUAGUCAGUGGAGCCACGACAGCCGAUGCCAGGACCCGCAGAAUAAAAAACCGACCUGCCACCCUUCCUGUGCCAGACUGAGGCCCCGCGGAGUUGCUCAGCCUUUGUUCUCUGCGUCAAAACUGGAGAGCACUUCAUCUCUCGGCCACUAGGGGGCGGUGAUUGUCCACACAUCGCAUUUUCCCUCGGAGCCGCCCAGCAUCCACCCGGGAAAUGGGGACGUUGUGGAGGAGGACUUUGAUAAGGAAAGGUCGUGGCAAAACCUUUAAGGUAGCAAGUUCGGAUUCUCUGGAGCAUCGAGUUUAAGAAUGGAUCUUUAGGUGCAAGGAUAUUUGGAUUAGGAAAGGAACUGGAUUCGGACCCCAGGCCUGAUCCACCCAGCUCUAGUGCCUCAUAUGUACAGUGGGAUAAUACAGUUUGUCACUCCAGCCUCACACAGCAAUCACAAGGUUGGUUUGAAUGGGACACAGGAGGUAACAGAGCUCCUAAAUUGCAUGGUGUGUGAAGAUGCGAGGUUUUGAUCACAGUUGCUGCUGCUUCUGGCCUUCGUUUCCAGUAUCCUUCCUGCCCUGGGGCAGGGUGCAGCUGGCUCCUUGUCAAAGGUGGCUGCUCUGUGGUCAUCCUGUGUCCCUACAUCUGAGGACUGAAGGGCCACAGGGAGGCGGGGAAGCUGGGAGAGGGCUCGCGGUGGUUCCCAGGGUGAACUGCUGGGAUCUGGUCCUCACAGCAGCUCACUGUGUAACCCUGGGUGUCUCAUGGUGGACAGGUAAGUGGGAUCUCUGUGUGUCCUUCCAGCUCCGUCUUUCCACACCUCCCAGUCUUCAGAGUUCUCUGAGCUGACCUGAUAGGGGAGGCAGUGACAAGGAAGGAGAGAUGACAGACAUGGGCAGUUGAUGUGUGUGGGGAGGCGGGGGAGUAGCCCCUGAUACACAAGGAACCCAGGGACAAGUGUUUCUCCCAGUAUUUGGGCCUUGACACUCAUCUGUGGGAUGGGCAGGUUGGACUAGUCAUCUCUAACCAUGGCUUUCUUCCAACCUUGUCCCAAUAAACACACAUAGAUCCCUACUGACGCUAAAACCAUUAAAAAUACUCAGACACGCUAAAACCCUUGGCUGCUUCUGAUCUCUAUGGUACUCCACAGUGUCCCAGCUGAGCAGUGGAUGGGGACCAUGAACUCACGUGUGACCUUUCUCCCUCCUGUUCACUCAAGGAGAAAUGAUAGGACACUGUUCCAAUCAGAUGACGGCAGUGAGGAUGGGGCAGCGGGUUGUCUCCCUGAUGCUGGCUCCUGGGUCCAUCUGCAAAGCAGCUCCCCUUCCAUCCCACAGUCGUGCCCUUGUCCAGCCUCUGAUGUCCUGCUCUCCAGGUGACCAAAGCUGUGCUUAGCUGUGUGUUGGAACAUGGUCCCUUUGUGGAUCUGUAGCCCCUGGAACAUUGGUUUUCUGUAUCAUAUUUCUUCGGUUUUGUCUUCCAAUGCUUCCAUUGAUUUUUAAAUUUUGGUGCAGAUAUAAAGAAAACUGAAGUUUAUGGAAUGUAGGAAAAUCCAUCUGAAAACUCCCCAGAGUGGCACCAGAGAUUGUAAUAUUGGUUGCACAAAGAAAGAAUCUCAUUGGCAGCACACUGCUUGGCCCAGCAGUGAAUGAUGCCUAUGUGGUCACCCAAGCCCAGAGCACCAGAGAUUUAAUCAUGGUCACUGAAGCGUAUGAGAGAAUCAGCAAACUUGACCAGAACCCAAAGAAGCAAAACAGAAAGGGAAAAGUAAAGCCGAAAGAAGCCAGGAAGCAGAGCAGAAGAGAUGGAAGGAAAGGAAGUGGCUAGUAGCAGGAGUCAAUAAAUAAAUGCCUAAAAUUGAUGUUACAAGAAACAGAGGUUUGAGUAUUUUAUGUCAACUUGCAAAUGUUAGAUGUUAGUGCCUCUUGCCAAGUUAUUUUUGACUCUCCUUUGUUCUGGAUACUUCCUGUGGUUGGAUGGGGCCAUGUGAUUAGUAUUGGUAAUUGCAUUGUGCACCUAAAAAAGGUGAAUUGCUUCCAGGGUGAAUAUUUCAUCACUUAUGUGAUCCCCCUUCUUUCUGGAUUGUGACCAGCCUUGUGUGAGAUUAUGGCUGUCUCUUCAGUCUUGAUCUUUUAAUAAUUAAAAUAUGUAGAUUCAACUUUCCCCAUAGACCUGCAGUAGACAUGUAUCUUGAAU
Sciurus carolinensis (gray squirrel) is the source of this 2439-nucleotide long non-coding RNA. RefSeq lists it as uncharacterized. NCBI's taxonomy places the organism in Eukaryota, Metazoa, Chordata, Mammalia, Rodentia, Sciuridae. The record is from RefSeq and is a predicted model, not a curated record. The transcript has 3 exons.